GACGAACGCUGGCGGCGUGCUUAACACAUGCAAGUCGAACGGAAAGGCCCUGCUUUUGUGGGGUGCUCGAGUGGCGAACGGGUGAGUAACACGUGAGUAACCUGCCCUUGACUUUGGGAUAACUUCAGGAAACUGGGGCUGAUACCGGAUAGGAGCUCCUGCUGCAUGGUGGGGGUUGGAAAGUUUCGGCGGUUGGGGAUGGACUCGCGGCUUAUCAGCUUGUUGGUGGGGUAGUGGCUUACCAAGGCUUUGACGGGUAGCCGGCCUGAGAGGGUGACCGGCCACAUUGGGACUGAGAUACGGCCCAGACUCCUACGGGAGGCAGCAGUGGGGAAUAUUGCACAAUGGGCGGAAGCCUGAUGCAGCAACGCCGCGUGCGGGAUGACGGCCUUCGGGUUGUAAACCGCUUUCGCCUGUGACGAAGCGUGAGUGACGGUAAGGGGUAAAGAAGCACCGGCUAACUACGUGC
RNAcentral lists this ribosomal RNA (469 nucleotides) under uncultured bacterium. RNAcentral's name for it is "partial 16S ribosomal RNA". It matches the Rfam family "Bacterial small subunit ribosomal RNA", at positions 28 to 508 of the family's 1533-position model. The record is from RNAcentral.